Molecule: ribosomal RNA, 251 nt
Filed under: Vibrio parahaemolyticus
Lineage: Bacteria; Pseudomonadati; Pseudomonadota; Gammaproteobacteria; Vibrionales; Vibrionaceae
Also listed under: 1 other name
Description: partial 16S ribosomal RNA
Rfam family: Bacterial small subunit ribosomal RNA
Source: RNAcentral
AAAUUGAAGAGUUUGAUCAUGGCUCAGAUUGAACGCUGGCGGCAGGCCUAACACAUGCAAGUCGAGCGGAAACGAGUUAUCUGAACCUUCGGGGAACGAUAGCGGCGUCGAGCGGCGGACGGGUGAGUAAUGCCUAGGAAAUUGCCCUGAUGUGGGGGAUAACCAUUGGAAACGAUGGCUAAUACCGCAUGAUGCCUACGGGCCAAAGAGGGGGACCUUCGGGCCUCUCGCGUCAGGAUAUGCCUAGGUGG